Molecule: ribosomal RNA, 253 nt
Filed under: uncultured bacterium
Lineage: Bacteria
Description: partial 16S ribosomal RNA
Rfam family: Bacterial small subunit ribosomal RNA
Source: RNAcentral
UACGGGGGGGACGAGCGUUGUUCGGAUUUACUGGGCGUAAAGGGCGCGUAGGCGGGCCUUCAAGUCGGGUGUGAAAACUGAAAGCUAAACUUUCAGACUGCAUUCGAUACUGUUGGUCUUGAGUACAGUAGAGGAAAGCGGAAUUCCAGGUGUAGCGGUGAAAUGCGUAGAUAUCUGGAAGAACACCAGUAGCGAAGGCGGCUUUCUGGGCUGAUACUGACGCUAAAGCGCGAAGGCUUGGGUAGCAAACAGG